CCUCAGCGCACGUCGUCUUUGAAGCGCCCUCACGUUUUAAUUACGUCACCCACAUGCCGUUGGUUGGUCUCGUUUUAAAGUGCGGAAGUUGCGGUUUACUCUCGUUAUUAUUUGAAGUCAAUCGACCAACUAGAACGUGAGAUAUUGUCAUUUAAGUUUUAUGGUUUUAUUGUCCUCUCAAAAAAACAUUAAAACGCUGCAUGGAUCAUUUGUUUAUGUCUAUAUUUCCAUCAUUUCUAGUCCUUUUUCAAAACGGAAGCUCCAUGAAAAAAACACAAAUCAAACGAACCCUUUCGAAGUCACAGUGGAAGCACAAAAUGCGUUUGUUUUUUUUUGUUUUUUUUUAUAAAUAUAACUGCGGUGCGAGGUUCAACCGAACGAGAGGGAGGAGGAGUGUUCUGAAGCAGCGAGGUGGCGAGCGACGGCCAGUUGGAUACUGCUGGAUCGAGCAGCGACUUUGUGUGACUUUGACAAUGAACGGAAAACUAAAUUUAGCGCAAGCAAUUGUGCUUCUGAUCAACUUGAGGAAGAGGAUGGUCCAAAUUCGUCAUCAUCGUCUUCUUCGGAAGAGUCCUCGAGUGAAGAUAGUGACGGAUUUGAACACGUGGGUGACGCCAUCGACGAGCAGAGUGACAAUGAAAGCAAAGUGAAAUGAAAAUGGAAGGGUGGAAAGAGGACCGACACCCCAUGGAAGUGUGAGCUGUGUGAUGUAGCCGUGUCUAAUUCCAGGACGAAACUGCUUUUCGGAGUGGCAUGACUGAAAAAAAUUUAACUUGUUUAUUGUAAAUAUUUUUGAAAAUGCUUUUUUCCCCCCAAUGUUAUAUAUAUAUUUUUUUCCCACAUCAAUCUUCUCAAUUUGUGUAUAUAAAUGUGUGUUCAAGAAGCUUGAUUGUGUGUACAUAGUUUUCAUCAGGCGAUUGGCCGCAAUACCUAAACUCAUAAAGAGAUGGCCUCUAAACACUUUUUGUGUUAGAUGGUAUAUAUUUUUUCACUGUUCUUCACUGUUAGGUCUGCUGUAUAUAACCUGUUUUGACUGGAGCAUGUAUAAAGGCAAAAAACGCCUAUGGCUAUACCUGUUGUUUAUGUUGAAUUGUCAAAUAUAAGACUAUUUAUUCUAAUUUUUUUUGGUUGAAUGUU
Molecule: long non-coding RNA, 1137 nt
Organism: Corythoichthys intestinalis (scribbled pipefish)
Lineage: Eukaryota; Metazoa; Chordata; Actinopteri; Syngnathiformes; Syngnathidae
Exons: 2
Source: RefSeq, a predicted model, not a curated record